AAGCCUGUAAUUUAAGGGUAGAAUAGUUUUUUGAUAGAAAACAGGUAGAAGUUCGAGUCUUCUUGGGCUUA
RNAcentral lists this transfer RNA (71 nucleotides) under Sanghuangporus sanghuang. Its description in RNAcentral is "tRNA-Ile". It matches the Rfam family "tRNA". Rfam says of the family: Transfer RNA (tRNA) molecules are approximately 80 nucleotides in length. Their secondary structure includes four short double-helical elements and three loops (D, anti-codon, and T loops). Further hydrogen bonds mediate the characteristic L-shaped molecular structure. tRNAs have two regions of fundamental functional importance: the anti-codon, which is responsible for specific mRNA codon recognition, and the 3' end, to which the tRNAs corresponding amino acid is attached (by aminoacyl-tRNA synthetases). tRNAs cope with the degeneracy of the genetic code in two manners: having more than one tRNA (with a specific anti-codon) for a particular amino acid; and 'wobble' base-pairing, i.e. permitting non-standard base-pairing at the 3rd anti-codon position. The record is from RNAcentral. Lineage: Eukaryota; Fungi; Basidiomycota; Agaricomycetes; Hymenochaetales; Hymenochaetaceae.